This 268-nucleotide unclassified non-coding RNA is filed under the name Homo sapiens (human). Its description in RNAcentral is "EPCIP antisense RNA 1 (ENSG00000263140.5)". Lineage: Eukaryota; Metazoa; Chordata; Mammalia; Primates; Hominidae. The record is from RNAcentral.
AGUGCGUCUUCGCACUUACGCGGAGCGGUAAUGUGAGGAAGCCUCCCGCCAAACAGAUGAGGGAGGAGGAGGAGGGGAGAGGCCAGAGAGAGAAGCGGCUUUCGGGAAGGAAAGUGUGAUCUAUUUUUUUUUUUUUCUUCUCCAGAAUGACCCUCUAUUUGGAUUUGGAUUACACAAAGUUUAACGUUUUUUGGAAAAAUCCUACCUAGGUAAUGUGUAGUUCUCAAUGCAUCAUGUCAGGCAGCUUAUGAUGCCAAUUUGUCCCAUG